RNAcentral lists this ribosomal RNA (475 nucleotides) under uncultured bacterium. RNAcentral's name for it is "bacterial SSU rRNA". It matches the Rfam family "Bacterial small subunit ribosomal RNA", at positions 19 to 518 of the family's 1533-position model. The record is from RNAcentral.
CUGGCUCAGAACGAACGCUGGCGGCAGGCUUAACACAUGCAAGUUGAGCGGGAGUUAUGUUGGUAGCUUGCUACUGAUAUAUGAGAGCAGCGCACUGGUGAGUAACACGUGGGAACAUACCUUUUGGUGGGGGACAACAGUUGGAAACGACUGCUAAUACCGCAUAAGCCCUGAGGGGGAAAGAUUUAUUGCCGAAAGAUUGGCCCGCGGAAGAUUAGGUAGUAGGUGGGGUAACGGCCUACCUAGCCAACGAUCUAUAGCUGGUCUGAGAGGACGAUCAGCCACAUUGGGACUGAGACACGGCCCAGACUCCUACGGGAGGCAGCAGUGAGGAAUAUUGGGCAAUGGAGGCAACUCUGACCCAAGCCAUGCCGCGUGAGUGAAGAAGGUUUUCGGAUUGUAAAGCUCUUUCGGACGUGAAGAUGAUGACGGUAGCGUCUAAAGAAGCCCCGGCUAACUUCGUGCCAGCCGCAGC